Molecule: ribosomal RNA, 468 nt
Filed under: uncultured bacterium
Lineage: Bacteria
Description: partial 16S ribosomal RNA
Rfam family: Bacterial small subunit ribosomal RNA
Source: RNAcentral
GACGAACGCUGGCGGCGUGCUUAACACAUGCAAGUCGAACGGAAAGGCCCUGCUUUUGUGGGGUGCUCGAGUGGCGAACGGGUGAGUAACACGUGAGUAACCUGCCCUUGACUUUGGGAUAACUUCAGGAAACUGGGGCUAAUACCGGAUAGGAUCUCCUGCUGCAUGGUGGGGGUUGGAAAGUUUCGGCGGUUGGGGAUGGACUCGCGGCUUAUCAGCUUGUUGGUGGGGUAGUGGCUUACCAAGGCUGUGACGGGUAGCCGGCCUGAGAGGGUGACCGGGGUCAAUGGGACUGCGAGAGGGAGCAGUAUGGUACGGGCGGCAGCAGUGGGGAAUCUUGCGGAGUGGGGGGGAGCGUGAGGUAGCAACGCCGGGAGCGUGAUGCUGGCUUUCGGGUUAUAAACCAAUUUCGACGGUGCUGAGCAGUGCGUGACGGUAACGGGUAAAGAAGCCACGGCUAACUACGUG